AACGAACGCUGGCGGCAUGCCUAACACAUGCAAGUCGAACGAAGUCUUCGGACUUAGUGGCGCACGGGUGCGUAACGCGUGGGAAUCUGCCCUUGUGUACGGAAUAACUCAGAGAAAUUUGUGCUAAUACCGUAUAAUGUCUUCGGACCAAAGAUUUAUCGCCCAAGGAUGAGCCCGCGUAAGAUUAGCUAGUUGGUGGGGUAAAAGCCUACCAAGGCGACGAUCUUUAGCUGGUCUGAGAGGAUGAUCAGCCACACUGGGACUGAGACACGGCCCAGACUCCUACGGGAGGCAGCAGUGGGGAAUAUUGGACAAUGGGCGAAAGCCUGAUCCAGCAAUGCCGCGUGAGUGAUGAAGGCCCUUGGGUUGUAAAGCUCUUUUACCAGGGAUGAUAAUGACAGUACCUGGAGAAUAAGCUCCGGCUAACUCCGUG
Molecule: ribosomal RNA, 433 nt
Filed under: uncultured bacterium
Lineage: Bacteria
Description: partial 16S ribosomal RNA
Rfam family: Bacterial small subunit ribosomal RNA
Source: RNAcentral